Molecule: long non-coding RNA, 3528 nt
Organism: Pongo abelii (Sumatran orangutan)
Lineage: Eukaryota; Metazoa; Chordata; Mammalia; Primates; Hominidae
Source: Ensembl
GAGUGAGACUCUGUCUCAAAAAAAAAAAAGAAAAAAGACCAAAAACUCCAUGAAACUACCAUUCAAUAAAUAAUCAAUAAAUAAGAUGCAAUUUCUCGAAGCUCAGUUUACAAAUAAGGAAAUUUAAUAAAUGGUUGAAGAUACCCCCGACUGAACCCACAUGUUCUCUGAGUAGACUCAUGGAAUUCUAAAGAGUUGGUUGCUUGGAGACUGAUAGAAACAGCUUUGGAACCUAAGAAACCAAGGAAGGCUUAAGAUGCAGAACCUUGCUUCUCUCUGAGGACUGCCUUGUAGGAGGCCAUUUGGAAAGUAAUUUUGAAACACUGCUCCUUUGCCAGUAUCUGAAAGGUGCUGGAUGGUGUCAGCUGGAAGAUGAGAGGCAACCUAAGAACCCAGAAUACAGACACCAGAGCAACACUCUCAAGUCAUACUUUUGACUACAAUUAAGAGAUGAAAAUGGACGGAUAUCUGAAGAUAGUUAUUCCCUCUGCUCUGAAGGUGAGCAACAUUUUAACAUGUGAGCAACACAGAACUCCACUCCUCUGGAGCUUCUUUCAACUCAGAAUGCUUCAGUUCAACGCUAAUGUAGGAGAUGCCCACGGCCAUACACCACACCACGAGGCUCGCGAUGUCCGAGAAGCUGGGUUCCUGCUCCACCUGGGUGAUCACCAGGCCCAUAUGCACAGGCAGCUUCUCCAAGGAACGGCCGUCCGCGCGCCAGCGCAUCCGGUGGUGGGCGGCUGCCAGGCACGACCCCCCGCGCGGGUGCCGGUGGUGACGGCGGUUCCUGCCAACUGCCCGGGGCUGGCGGAGCGUGAAGCCGAGAGGCGCUAGGACCGCGGCAGAGGCGGCGCGGCAGCAGCGCCGCCAGAUCCAGUUCCAGGUGCCGAACCCAACGCGGAGCCAGGAGGUGAGCGUGCGGUGCAGAUAGAGCAGCGCGUGCAGCACCCACCACACCAGCUCGUACAGCCUCGUCAUACUCUUAUGGCCCUCGGGCACCCCUUUCCCUCCCACCCACUCCCGCGGCGCGACGGCUUUUUAUCCGCCCCUGCGGCCGGCGCGGGCCAUCGUUCCGCGUUCCCCCGCCCCCCGAGCCCGAACCCCUUUCCACUGCCAACACCUCACCUCGCUCCCGCCGCCAUCUUCCUCCUCCCUUGGCAGCCCCGCCCCCAGUCCCCUCUACAUUCUUUUAAAGGCCAGUAACUUCAACUUGCCCUUCUGAGGCUAUUUUCUAGUUCUUGUAGGCAUGCUUCCUUUUUUAUUCUUUUUUUCCUUUUACUCCUUGGACUGUAUAUUUCCUUUUUAUUUUUAUUUAUUUAUUUAUUUUUGAGAAGUUUUGCCCUUGUCGCCCAGGCUGGAGUGCAGUGGCACUAUCUCGGCUCACUGCAACCUCUGCCUCCCGGGUUCAAACUGUUCUCCUGCCUCAGCCUCCCGAGUAGCUGGGACUACAGGCGCCCGCCACCACACUCGGCUAAUUUUUUGUACUAUUUAGUAGAGACGGGGUUUCACCAUGUUAGCCAGGAUGGUCUCGAUCUCCUGACCUCGUGAUCCGCCCGUCUCGGCCUCCCAAAGUGCUGGAUUACAGGCUUGAGCCGCCGUGCCCGGUGGGAACACAGACAAUUUUUAGGGCAGUGAAACUAUUCUAUGUGAUACUGUAAUGGUGGACACAUGUCAUUAUACAUUUGUCCAAAACUAUAGAUGUAGAACAAACACCAAGAGUGAACCCUAAAGCAAACUAGAGAUUUGGGGUGAUAAUGAUAUGUCAGUGACGGUUAAUUGUAACCGAUGUACCAUUCUGGUGGGGGAUGUUGAUAGUGGAGGUAAGGGAACUAUGCAUGUUUUGGGGGCACAGGGAGUAUAUGGGAAAUCUCUGUACCUUCUGCUCAAUUUUGCUAUGAAACUAAAACUGCUUUAAAAUAUAAGACUUAAAAAAAAAAAAUAAGUAAACCACCCAGAUAGCUCAGUUGGUACAGCAUCAGACUUUUAAUCUGAGGGUCCAGGGUUCAUGUCCCUGUUCCUUAAUUUUUUCUUAACUUUUUAAUUAAAUUAAACACAAAAAAGAAAAGUAAAUGUAUUGGAUGGAAAAUCAAGAGUGGGUCUGGCUUAACAUUUGAUUGAUCCAAUGGCUAAAUGAUGACACCAGGAACCUCUGCUUUCUGUCUUCUCUGCCAUAAUAACAUCAUAAGGUGGCUGUCAGCGUAAUUGGGGCCUCAUCCUUUUUUGCUUAUAUUGAGUAGGAGGGAGAAGAUUCAGAUUUCUAAGAAAGGUCUAAGUCACAUAUUUUCUCCUGUCAUGGAAUGUUGAAAUUGGCUUAAACCAAAUGGAGAUUGCCACCAUUGCCCCUGGGAUCAGGGUGGAGUUAGCAUUUCCUGGAAUCCAUAGCUGCAGGGGGAGGGGCAAUGAAAUCAGGAAUUCUCCGAAAAAGUGUAAUAUAUGCUGAGCAGGUACCUGACACUAUGAGUGUAAUGGAGGAAGUUCUCAUGACGGUACUGAUGGCUUUUUGAAAUGUAGGGCAAGAAAGGACACUUUGAAAAUUUAGAGAGAUAGGCCGGGCUCGGUGGCUCACGCCUGUAAUCCCAGCACCUUGGGAGGCUGAAGCUAGCGGGUCACUUGAGGUCAGGAGUUCAAGACCCGCCCGGCCAACAUGGUGAAACCCCGUCUCUACUAAAAAUACAAAAAUUAGCCGGCGUGGUGGUAUGCACCUGUAAUCCCAGCUACUCGAGAGGCUGAGGCAGGAGAAUCACUUGAACCCAGGAGGCAUAGGUUGCAGUGAGCCGAGAUCGCGCCAUUGCCCUCCAGCCUGGGCGACAAGAAUGAAACUCCAUCUCAAAAAAAAAAAAAAAAAAAAAAAAAAAAAAUUAGAGAAAUAAAAUAUGGGUCUAAUAGGAGUUAUGAUUAUUUUUGGGGCAAAUUAAAGAAUUUGGAAGUUGGAGACUGACUUUGAGAAGAUUGGGGCGUAUUUAGAUUUGAACACAGAGUUUGACAUAAAAUAUGUGUUGGAAAACAAGAAAAAAUUUAAGCACAUUAGCAGUAUUUUGCUGCUAGAUAAUUCUCCCCCAGUUUAUCCUCAAUCCUCAAAAUCAAGUGGGAAUGGGAGGUCCUGUGGAAACAAGUCAGGGGAGAUAAGGUAAAUCCACUUGUGUUCCUAGCAGAAAUUUUACUGAUAAUCAGAAUAGUAAUAAGUAUUGAAAUAAAGCAAAAACAAGUGGAUGGGCCAGGUGCGGUGGCUCAUUCCUGUAAUCCUAGCACUUUGGGAGGCCAAGGCAGGCAGAUCACUUGAGGCCAGGAGUUUGAGACCAGCCUGGCCAAUGUGGCAAAACCCCAUCUCUACUAAAAAUGCAAAAAUUAGCCGGGUGUGAUGGCCCAUGCCUGUAGUCCCAGCAAUGUCCCGGGAAGCUACGGCAAGAGGAUUGCUUGAACCCAGGAGGCGGAGGUGGUGCUGAACCAAGAUGGCAUCACUACACUCCAGCUAGGGUGACAGAGCAAGACUCUGUCUCGAAAAAAAAAAGUGGAUGUUGCCAAAAGGGG